This is a long non-coding RNA of Trifolium pratense (red clover), 542 nucleotides long. RefSeq lists it as uncharacterized. The record is from RefSeq and is a predicted model, not a curated record. The transcript is spliced from 3 exons. NCBI's taxonomy places the organism in Eukaryota, Viridiplantae, Streptophyta, Magnoliopsida, Fabales, Fabaceae.
AAGUCACAUAGCCACAAACGAAGUUUCCAUUUCAUCGCAGAGAAGUACAAAGCACACAGCACCGAUUCUAGAGCGAAUCAGAGAAAGAAGAAAGAUGAUCUAUCGGAAGUGGAGUCUCCUUACAGGUCCGACGUCCAUCAUCGCUGGUGUAGUGGCCACCGUCGCCGUCGCCAACUUCAUAUUAGUCAAGAAUGACCCAUUCACUAAACCAGAGGAUAGGAAGUUUGGAGAUCAACCUGCAACCAAGUAGUAGAAAAGAUAUCACAGUGGUUUGUAUUUUGAUGUCACAUUGAUUAUGAGCCCUUUAUGCUGUUUUGCAAGACAUGCUCUCUUUAGUUAAUAAAGUCUUAGGUGUCAAAUGAAAUUUGGAUUCUGGAGCAUGAACCUUUGUUUAGAACUAACUUACAAAAGUUCUUGAGAACUGGUUCACAUUUCAGAGAUCCAUGUUUGUUUCUUCUGUACAAUGUCAAAUAGAAACGUGUAAUAAUCUUAUAUUUCAUUUCUUUUACCCUUAUCAAUUUUUCGAUAAAGUUUGCCUUGCC